This 598-nucleotide ribosomal RNA is filed under the name Haemophilus haemolyticus. RNAcentral's name for it is "bacterial SSU rRNA". It matches the Rfam family "Bacterial small subunit ribosomal RNA", at positions 88 to 682 of the family's 1533-position model. Lineage: Bacteria; Pseudomonadati; Pseudomonadota; Gammaproteobacteria; Pasteurellales; Pasteurellaceae. The record is from RNAcentral.
CUGACGAGUGGCGGACGGGUGAGUAAUGCUUGGGAAUCUGGCUUAUGGAGGGGGAUAACUACGGGAAACUGUAGCUAAUACCGCGUAAUAUCGAAAGAUUAAAGUGUGGGACCUUCGGGCCACAUGCCAUAGGAUGAGCCCAAGUGGGAUUAGGUAGUUGGUGGGGUAAGGGCUUACCAAGCCUGCGAUCUCUAGCUGGUCUGAGAGGAUGGCCAGCCACACUGGAACUGAGACACGGUCCAGACUCCUACGGGAGGCAGCAGUGGGGAAUAUUGCGCAAUGGGGGGAACCCUGACGCAGCCAUGCCGCGUGAAUGAAGAAGGCCUUCGGGUUGUAAAGUUCUUUCGGUAUUGAGGAAGGGAUGUGUGCUAAUAGUACACAUCAUUGACGUUAAAUACAGAAGAAGCACCGGCUAACUCCGUGCCAGCAGCCGCGGUAAUACGGAGGGUGCGAGCGUUAAUCGGAAUAACUGGGCGUAAAGGGCACGCAGGCGGUUAUUUAAGUGAGGUGUGAAAGCCCCGGGCUUAACCUGGGAAUUGCAUUUCAGACUGGGUAACUAGAGUACUUUAGGGAGGGGUAGAAUUCCACGUGUAGCGGU